RNAcentral lists this long non-coding RNA (2370 nucleotides) under Microcebus murinus (gray mouse lemur). RNAcentral's name for it is "lncRNA (ENSMICG00000048818.1)". The record is from RNAcentral. Lineage: Eukaryota; Metazoa; Chordata; Mammalia; Primates; Cheirogaleidae.
CAGCCGCAGCCGCGCCCGCACCCGCAGAGGCUCGGGCGGGGAGCGCGGGCGCCGGCGGCGGCCCAGCCGGCGACCCAGGCGGGAGACGCGGCCCUCGGGGCUCCUCCGCACCUCCCCGCAGUCUCCGGGGCUCCCAGCCGUCAUCUCGCUGUCGUCUGGGCGCUCUGCGGAGAGAAGAUGGUUGGCAGGGACUGGACCGACGGACCUAGGUUCGGGGAGCCAGGCUCGGGGCCCAAAUCCGGGAGGGAAGCUCGGACCGCCUCGCCCAGGCCGCUUGGAGAUCCCUGGCGGCCACCCCCGGAUUUUCCCGGGCUGCGAGGCGGGGAGCCUCCAACGCUCGGGUUUUCCGCAGCGGAGCACCGAGCCAGGGACGCGCGGCAGAAGCCGGAGUUGGCCCGGCCUGCUGGCGGAGAGGAGGGAGGGGGGCGCGGGCUGCUCCCUGGCGCAUCCCCGGCUGCGGGGCUCCGGCCGCCUGCGCCCGUUGCUACCCCGCGCGGGUCCCGGGCCUCGGGAAGCCUCGCGGGCCCCAGGCAGCGGCGUCUCCUGGACCUCGGUCAGCACUGAAGCUGCAGCAGGACAGACUUGAGCUAGACUCCGAGAAGACCGCUCUGACCAAGACCAGGCAGUCAGAGGAGAGGAGGCAGCGCCGGACUUUGUCCAGGAUUGCUGUCAACUCCGCGCAAAAGAGGCCUCUCCCUCCCCAGCGGCUGGGCGGGAGGCAGGGGGCUGCCGGCCCGGGGCGCAGGGCCUCGCCGGAUGGACUCCCCUCCCCGCUCUCCCGUCGGCUGGGGCAAGGCUGUUCCCAGGUUGCGGCGUUUCCGAUUCGGGAUCCUCCAGAUGAAUCAUCCGCCUUUCCCGCCGCCUGGCCUCCUUUCCGGCCUCCUCCGCCCGAGGCCUCAGUGGCCCGCGUCCCGGCCAGAGCAGCACCGCCCCUGUGCCUCAGGCCGCCCGGGUCCGGGCCACACAGCUGAAGCGCCUCCCGGCUGCUGGUCGCGCGGCCCUGCGGCCCGAGGCCUGGGUCCCGGCCGGGACAGGAGCCGCCGGGCUGCGCGCACGGGGUGGCCCCACGACAGGGAGGCUGUGGGAGGGAGCGCGGCCCCCACCCAGGCGCCCAGCCCGCAGGAGCAGAGGGUAGGACCUCGCGUCCACUGGUGCGCCCUCCGCCCCCGUCUGGUGUCUAAACAGCUGCAGCGCUGGAAGGAGGAGGCCUUGCUACCCUACCCACGCCCCAUCUGCACCCCGAAGCUCAAAGCAGGACACCAUCCCCGCUCGCUCACACAGGGGCCGGGCCUAGCGCGAACCGCAGCGUCUGCCGCGGCCGAAGCCUGGUUUCACAGAAGGAAACUGCGGCCCAGAGAGGCUGAGGAGCCCGCCGGGGUCACACCGCCGCACGAGGCGGGGACUUCACCAGGGCCGUCGCCGGGCUCCUGCACCCUAGCCCUGGGCACCCGACACUUCUUGGCACAGCCACAGAGCGUCCUGGAAGGAGGCCCCGGCGCGUCCCUGCCUGGAGGGAGAUGAAAACACACAGAGCGAAGAGAUGGGGACAUGCUCAGAGACCCCGGGACUCUGGAGGGUGAGUCCACGAUGGGGACCCCACGCAGGCAGAAAGUUGGAGACACAGCCUGACCGUCCCAGGUCGCGGGAAGUUGCUCGGGGCCGAGUCCGCCGUACUCUGGGGUUCUCCCGCCACCGGCCGCGGCCACACUCCGGUCGGGGGGAAAGGGAGGACCGCGCUGCCGCCCCGGGGCCGUGCCGAGGGAGGGGCCAAACAGAAAGUUAGGGAAAGUGGGGAGCAAACCCAGGGAUCCUGGCUCGGCUCACCUAGUUCGGCCGGUCCGGGCGCGAGUGCGCGCGCCGCGCCUCCCCGCGCCGCCUGGGUCUCCACGGAACCCGGCCCCGCCCCGGCUCCGCCCCGGCCCCGCCCCCGGGGCCCCCGGCACCGUCCGGGUCGCGCAGGGCCCGGCCCCCACGCUGCGAAAAGGCGGCAACUCAGGUCUGAGGGGCGCAGGUGAGCGCUGUGUGCGCGCCUGGUGACUCCGCGCCUCUGGGGACCCGAGUCCUGCCAUCCCCACUCCCUCCCGCAGCUUCAUCGCUUGGAGAGGCCCGAAGGGCGCCCCCUUCCUCCGUGGGGAGGCUGAGACCCCAGGACCGAGGACCCCGCAGCCCGAGCCUGCAGACUGAGGAUGAGGAAUCCGCACAGCCGCCUCGCAGAAGCGGCGACCCCACGGCGCUCCCGCGGUCUGAGCCUCACUGCCGUCAUCUGCAAAAUGGGCUCAGCGCCGCCGCCCCACCAGAUGCUGAGAGGCGCAUCCGGCGCCGAGGGCAGAGUCGCGACCCCGCACGCCCUCGGUGGGCGGCAGUCGCGGG